RNAcentral lists this ribosomal RNA (429 nucleotides) under Bacteroidota bacterium. RNAcentral's name for it is "Bacteroidetes bacterium partial 16S ribosomal RNA". It matches the Rfam family "Bacterial small subunit ribosomal RNA", at positions 355 to 776 of the family's 1533-position model. Lineage: Bacteria; Pseudomonadati; Bacteroidota. The record is from RNAcentral.
UAGGGAAUCUUCGGCAAUGGGGGGAACCCUGACCGAGCAACGCCGCGUGAGUGAAGAAGGUUUUCGGAUCGUAAAGCUCUGUUGUUAAGGAAGAACGAGUGUGAGAAUGGAAAGUUCAUACUGUGACGGUACUUAACCAGAAAGGGACGGCUAACUACGUGCCAGCAGCCGCGGUAAUACGUAGGUCCCGAGCGUUGUCCGGAUUUAUUGGGCGUAAAGCGAGCGCAGGGGGUUAGAUAAGUCUGAAGUUAAAGGCAGUGGCUCAACCAUUGUAGGCUUUGGAAACUGUUUAGCUUGAGUGCAGAGGGGGUGGGUGGAAUUCCGUGUGUAACGGUGAAAUACAUAGAUAUAUGGAGAAACACCGGUGGCGAAAGCGGCUCUCUGGUCUGUAACUGUCGCUGAGGAUCGAAAGCGUGGGGAGCAAACAGG